RNAcentral lists this non-coding RNA (68 nucleotides) under Gemmatimonadaceae bacterium. Its description in RNAcentral is "c-di-GMP sequence". It matches the Rfam family "c-di-GMP-I riboswitch aptamer", at positions 12 to 81 of the family's 87-position model. Rfam says of the family: GEMM was predicted in a large-scale screen for bacterial structured RNA regulatory elements. Lineage: Bacteria; Pseudomonadati; Gemmatimonadota; Gemmatimonadia; Gemmatimonadales; Gemmatimonadaceae. The record is from RNAcentral.
GCAAACCGGAAGAGAUUCCGGGACGCAAAGCCACGGGUCCUAACCCUUUGUGGAAGGAUGGCCGGGUU